Molecule: long non-coding RNA, 2536 nt
Filed under: Sus scrofa (pig)
Lineage: Eukaryota; Metazoa; Chordata; Mammalia; Artiodactyla; Suidae
Description: lncRNA (ENSSSCG00030045782.1)
Source: RNAcentral
GGUCUUCUUGGCCUCUGUUUCCCGGAAGUGGUUUCCCUCCACCUCCUCAGGAGGGCCGGCCUUCCCUAAGGGCGGAGUCUAGGGCUUCUUUGGGACUGAAUAUGCAUUAGCUUUUGGAAGUCCAGCUUUGAUUUUCCCCUAAGCAUUGCUACAAAGGCCGGACUGCGGCUCUGGGCACCGUUCACAUCCUCGGCCGCCUUUGGCUUUGUGACCUUGGGCCGGUUGUAUAAGCUCUCUGAGCUUCCCAGGUGACUUCUCUGCAAAGUGGGCUGGUAACGCCCGAGUUGGUGCUAAAUCCUAAAGUUCAUGCUGCGAACCGGGCCCUCAACAGAUCAGCCUCUGUUUGGUCUGGUGGCAGGCCCCACGGGCUCCUGAGAGACGUGAGAAGCAGCUUUGUAUGGGAGCCACCUCUGCUCGCGUUUCCACCCAGAACCAAAGGACUGACCAUUCUUUCAAUCCCUAAGCGGUGUCUUUUCUAUCUAAUCCUAAUAACCAAGCCUGGAGGAAUUGCAGACUUUCUGGUUGAAGGUUCAACAGGUCUCCUCGUUUAAGGAUAGAGUAAGUCUCACUGAAGCUACAGAGGAGAAUCUGGAAAAUGCAAAUGUUACUACCUUAACCGAAAAAGGGAGGAGGGGGCGCUCUCCUAAAUGGCCUUUACCUUGGACCUUUUCCUUCUCCUGGCAUUUGGGCUGCCAGGGAUCUUGCUUCUGCCCCACCAACACACUGAAAGCAAGAGCUCUUGACGUGAUGACUAAGGAAAAGAAUUUGGUUUUCAUUUGGAGACAGCUGAUUCUGAAGCCAUCUUAAAGCCUAAGCAUAGCACAACUGCAUUCAUGAUUCUAUGAAUUCUUUCCUACCAUUGGAACUUAGGGAAGGGGAGAGGAAGUGUGCAUCUAGGAAAUGUGGAAGGACAAGCUCUUCGUUCUUUCAUCCUUCCGCUGCCUUCUAACUCUGUGGUCGAGUGUGGUCUUCCCAGGAGAGCAUCUUCCAGGAAACUUAUUAGAAAGGAAGAACCCCAGGCCUCAUUUCACAUCUGAAGCAGAGUCUGCCUUGUAGCCGACUCCUCAGCCAUUGCUAGGCAUGCUAAAGUUGACAAGGCCCUGGUUUAACUCCUGGGGUGGUCUGGUUUAAAGUGAUGAGAUGGCAUCAAAGAUGACGGAAGGACAGAGUCCACAGAGCCAGAAUUUGGGGCAGUGGAGGCAGAGCACCUAUUUCCUGCAUUUGGGCACUGCCAGCAGGUUGAUUCAGAAGAUGGGUGAAAAAUUUGUUCCUGGGGUAGCAGGAGGAGCACCACGACUUUGGAAUCUUUUGCUUAAAAGAAGGAUGAGCUCGGCUGUUCAUACCAUACAUCCCGGAGGUCUUCAGCAAGGUGAGCUUCCUCUGACCAAGAAGCCGGCUGCCCAGAUGCGCUAAGCACGCCUCCCUCACAUAUUCCGGUGUCAUGCUCCAUCAUAAGUGACUAGACAUAGUUCCAGUGCUACCCAGCAGGAUCUCAUUGCUCAUGCAUUCCAAAGGCAAGAGUCUGCAUCUCAAAAAAUCAAAUACCUGGGAAUACACCUGACCAAGGAGUUCCUGAGCAUUGACCACAAUAGCCCUUUCGGUGGUCCUGGUGGCAGCCGUCCAGCCAGUUCUGCUGUCGUCUUUCUCGUGUGUUCCCAGCUGACACUACGAUUCAGCUCAGAAAAAGCUGGUGUUCAUUUAGUGGGUUCUCUUAAUCGUCAACGUUGGAUGACCAAUAAAUCUGCUCAAUAACAGGAAAGGGUCCCCACCUGGCAGACCCUCCUCGCGCGUGGGCCGGCAACGUGAUUUAAAGCAGCCAAUCGCGUCCUUCCGUGAGAAAGAGGUGGAGUUUUGUGUCUUGUUGCCACAGAGCCAGCUUCUGCCAGCCCCGCAGGUUCACGCUGCUCCUAGCUGGGCUUCACGUGCUGGGAGCUGUCUUCCCCCCAAAUGUUUCUGGCUUCACGAGGAUGAGACUGAGAACCAAAGAAGAGGCGGUUUCUGUCUUCGGAACCCACAGCUGAGUGGAGGAUUCAGAUGGUGGAGGUGAAGGUGCUGGUGGAUGAUAUAUCAGAAGUGACACCCCGGAACAGAGACCGCCUGUGACUGGAGCCCCAUUCCUGGCUGAACUGUACUGGGAAGAGCAGACCUGAGCAAGAUCUCUGAGACUUGGCCUCUGGCUUGAAGGUUGGACCACGGUGAGACUGAGAAGGCGCUUCCUGGAGGCCCCCAUUGACUCUGAAAGUUUCCAGUCUGGAAGAAAGAGAGCAGGUCGCUGCAAGCACUGAGGAUGAAAAGCCUCUGGAAACAAGGAACCGCCAGGCUUGGUCAGUGCCCCACCUGGAGAACAAGACCAGGUAGGUGACAGAAAUGAAGGGCAUGUCUGCUGAAUGAAUGUAUAGACAAAAUCAGUCGGUGACCUUAUGGGAAAAGGAAUCUCCCAGGUUUUCCUCUGCAGCAGUUUACGGACUCGUGCUUUGGAACAGCGUUCUUCUCGCUCACCUGCAGAGAUGCAGUGUGCCGGCCGCACCUCGGCGUG